CCUACGGGAGGCAGCAGUGAGGAAUAUUGGUCAAUGGGCUUACGCCUGAACCAGCCAAGUCGCGUGAGGGAAGACUGCCCUCUGGGUUGUAAACCUCUUUUGUCAGGGAGCAAUUGGCGCUACGUGUAGCGUUAUCGAGAGUACCUGAAGAAAAAGCAUCGGCUAACACGGUGCCAGCAGCCGGGGUAAUACGGAGGUUGCGAGGGUUAACCGGAUUUAUUGGGUUUAAAGGGUGCGUAGGCGGAAGGUUAAGUCAGCGGGAAAAUGUAGGUGUGAAACACCGGCCUGCUGUUGAAACUGGUCGUCUUGAGUGAUCGAGAGGUAGGCGGAAUGCGUGGUGUAGCGGUGAAAUGCAUAGAUAUCGCGCAGAACUCCGGUUGCGAAGGCAGCAUACCGGCGCUCAACUGACGCUGAGGCACGAAAGCGUGGGGAUCGAACAGGAUUAGAUACCCGUGUAGUC
RNAcentral lists this ribosomal RNA (460 nucleotides) under uncultured bacterium. Its description in RNAcentral is "partial 16S ribosomal RNA". It matches the Rfam family "Bacterial small subunit ribosomal RNA", at positions 338 to 795 of the family's 1533-position model. The record is from RNAcentral.